This 372-nucleotide ribosomal RNA is filed under the name uncultured bacterium. RNAcentral describes it as "bacterial SSU rRNA". It matches the Rfam family "Bacterial small subunit ribosomal RNA", at positions 525 to 896 of the family's 1533-position model. The record is from RNAcentral.
ACGUAGGGUGCGAGCGUUAAUCGGAAUUACUGGGCGUAAAGCGCGCGUAGACGGUUUUGUAAGUCAGAUGUGAAAUCCCUGGGCUCAACCUGGGAACUGCAUUUGAAACUGCAUGGCUAGAGUAUGGAAGAGGGAAGUGGAAUUUCCGGUGUAGCGGUGAAAUGCGUAGAUAUCGGAAGGAACACCAGUGGCGAAAGCGACUUCCUGGUCCAAUACUGACGUUCAUGUGCGAAAGCGUGGGGAGCAAACAGGAUUAGAUACCCUGGUAGUCCACGCCAUAAACGAUGACAACUAGAUGUUGGGAGGGUCUGCCUCUCGGUGUCGCAGCUAACGCGUUAAGUUGUCCGCCUGGGGAGUACGGCCGCAAGGUUG